CCUACGGGGGGCAGCAGUGGGGAAUAUUGGGCAAUGGGCGCAAGCCUGACCCAGCAACGCCGCGUGAAGGAAGAAGGCUUUCGGGUUGUAAACUUCUUUUCUCAGGGACGAAGCAAGUGACGGUACCUGAGUAAUAAGCCACGGCUAACUACGUGCCAGCAGCCGCGGUAAUACGUAGGUGGCAAGCGUUAUCCGGAUUUACUGGGUGUAAAGGGCGUGUAGGCGGGAAAGCAAGUCAGAUGUGAAAACCAUGGGCUCAACCUGUGGCCUGCAUUUGAUACUGUUUUUCUUGAGUACUGGAGAGGCAGACGGAAUUCGUGGUGUAGCGGUGAAAUGCGUAGAUAUUAGGAGGAACACCAGUGGCGAAGGCGGUCUGCUGGACAGCAACUGACGCUGAGGCGCGAAAGCGUGGGGAGCAAACAGGAUUAGAUACCCCGGUAGUC
Molecule: ribosomal RNA, 443 nt
Filed under: uncultured bacterium
Lineage: Bacteria
Description: partial 16S ribosomal RNA
Rfam family: Bacterial small subunit ribosomal RNA
Source: RNAcentral